AUACGUAGGUGGCAAGCGUUGUCCGGAAUUAUUGGGCGUAAAGCGCGCGCAGGUGGUUCCUUAAGUCUGAUGUGAAAGCCCCCGGCUCAACCGGGGAGGGUCAUUGGGAACUGGGGGACUUGAGUGCAGAAGAGGAUAGUGGAAUUCCAAGUGUAGCGGUGAAAUGCGUAGAGAUUUGGAGGAACACCAGUGGCGAAGGCGACUGUCUGGUCUUUAACUGACACUGAGGCGCGAAAGCGUGGGGAGCAAACAGGAUUAGAUACCCUGGUAGUCCACGCCGUAAACGAUGAGUGCUAAGUGUUGGGGGGUUUCCGCCCCUCAGUGCUGCAGCUAACGCAUUAAGCACUCCGCCUGGGGAGUACGGUCGCAAGACUGAAACUCAAAGGAAUUGACGGGG
This 397-nucleotide ribosomal RNA is filed under the name uncultured bacterium. RNAcentral's name for it is "partial 16S ribosomal RNA". It matches the Rfam family "Bacterial small subunit ribosomal RNA", at positions 523 to 918 of the family's 1533-position model. The record is from RNAcentral.